CCCCACCCGAAGGCAGGGUGACCUCCCCCUCCCCAGUCUUCCCCACCGUAGCAACACAGGGGCCAGCGACUACCCGGCAACCACCCUCAAAGUCCCCCGUCCAUCAGGAGAGAAGAGCAAGGCAGCGCGGACCACCCGGCCUGCCCGCCCACCACCGUGGCCUCUGGCCCAGAGCAGAGCCCCGCCCACCAGGCCUCAUCCACACCAACGCCACCGCCACAGAAGGCCGGAUGGCAGGUGCCCAGGACAGGGGCAGGUGCCCUGGGAGGGCAUGUACAGAAGCUGUAAAUAACCCUCUUCCCCGCCCAGGACCUAGACCUCACUGCAGUCUCCCUGCCUGGGAUAAAAGCUUCCAAACCUGCCUAGCGGGACAGCUACAAGGGCCCCCGAGAGCUGCCUGACCACUGUCUUCAUUGGGACAACUCUAGGGGACCAUUCCACCUGGGGCUCCUAAGCAAACCUCUUAUUUAUUUUAUUUAUGUUUUAUUUAUUUAUUGAUAUGACCGUCCUUUUGUUUCUUA
RNAcentral lists this long non-coding RNA (521 nucleotides) under Marmota monax (woodchuck). The record is from RNAcentral. Lineage: Eukaryota; Metazoa; Chordata; Mammalia; Rodentia; Sciuridae.